RNAcentral lists this ribosomal RNA (440 nucleotides) under uncultured bacterium. Its description in RNAcentral is "bacterial SSU rRNA". It matches the Rfam family "Bacterial small subunit ribosomal RNA", at positions 338 to 769 of the family's 1533-position model. The record is from RNAcentral.
CCUACGGGAGGCAGCAGUGGGGAAUCUUGCGCAAUGGGCGAAAGCCUGACGCAGCGACGCCGCGUGCGGGAGGAAGCUCUUCGGGGUGUAAACCGCUGUCAGGAGGGAAGAAUGGUCGAGGGAGGAAAUGCCCUUGAUUUGACGGUACCUCCAGAGGAAGCACCGGCUAACUCUGUGCCAGCAGCCGCGGUAAUACAGAGGGUGCGAGCGUUGUUCGGAAUUACUGGGCGUAAAGCGCGCGCAGGCGGCUCUUUAAGUCUGUCGGUCAAACGCCGGGGCUCAACCCCGUGCUCGCCGGAGAUACUGGAGGGCUGGAGACAUGUAGAGGCAAGCGGAAUUCCGGGUGUAGCGGUGGAAUGCGUAGAGAUCCGGAAGAACACCGGAGGCGAAGGCGGCUUGCUGGGCAUGGUCUGACGCUGAGGCGCGAAAGCGUGGGGAGC